This 906-nucleotide ribosomal RNA is filed under the name Triticum aestivum (bread wheat). RNAcentral's name for it is "partial small subunit ribosomal RNA". The record is from RNAcentral. Lineage: Eukaryota; Viridiplantae; Streptophyta; Magnoliopsida; Poales; Poaceae.
AUGUGUAGUCAUGUGUACAUCACCAAACCCAACCCGAACAGCGACAAGAAAGCACCCACCCCAUCAUCACCAACCACACCAGACACCACUACACCGACCAACUCCUCACGCCUAAUCAAGAUCUAUUCCGUUGUAUGGAUGGACCCCGCUCCCACUCACUCAGAUUCAUGGUGGAUCGAAUCGAGCUGCUCACCAAACGCAACCAGCCAGAGCUACAAGGACGGCGGCCACCCACGCGUUGGCCCACCCGUACGGCACUGCUCCUCUCAGCGCCGCCGCGCCCGAGGACGACUUGCCGGUGGCGCCGCCGGCCGCACCGGCGCCGCCCCCGUCGAUGGGGGAGACGGGCGCGUUGGCGUCGAUGGUGGUGCCGUUGAGGCCGGUGGUGUAGACGUCAAGCUCGAUGGUGGCGUCGGCGCCGCUCGAGCUGUUGGUCUUCCACACCACGUACCCCGUCGCCAUCCGGAACUUCCCCGUGCCGCCCACCACGGAGAGCUCCCGCGUGGUGGUCAUGACGUCGUCGCGGCCGAUGACGGCCAGCGUGCUGCCGUUGUAGUCCCCCGUGGUGAGCAGCAGGUUCACGCACAUCAUCAGCACCAUGCCCGACUGCGACGACAUCAUGUAGAACCCCUGCGCGCGCCCCACGGGCGCCGACGUCGGCGACGAGGACUCCGUCAGCGCGUCGUCGAUGACGGUCGUGUCGCCGAAGGCCACGCCCGGGAGGGCGUUGGACGACGAGGCAGGACCCUUGAUGACCUGCACCGCCGUCGGGUUGCUGCCGGAGACCACGUCGUGGAGGAAGAAGUGGAGGUGCGUGUCCGCCGCGCAGGUGGUGAGCAGGAGGAGGGAGAGGAGGACAGCGGCGUGAGGAGCCAUGAUAGGAUAGCGGGUGGGUUCUGCUUGUGA